CUCAAACUUUUAUAGGCUUUGAUCCCAUAUAUAUAUGAAUUCUUCAAUUUUUCAAUUUUGGAUAUGCUGCUUGAGAUUGUUAUUUGAUCCUCAGCUUGGAUUAUAGGUUUGUUUGCAGAGAGGAACCUUCAUCAAGAUCAAUGGGGAAGCAAUUUGAUAAAAAGAAGAUCACUUGGACGAUUAAAAAUUUCUCCUCUUUACCAGCCGACAUUAUUUAUUCUGAUCCUUUUGUCGUCGGUGGCUGCAAAUGGCAUCUACGGGCCUAUCCCAAGGGAUAUAAUAAUACUAACUGCUUGUCCCUAUUUCUUGGUGUUGUUAAUUCUACUUCUUUGCCUUCCGGAUGGAGAAGACACGCUAAAUUUCGUCUGAUUAUAGUAAAUCAGUUAUCAGAUAAACUUUCUCAGUCAAAACUUAAAGGUAAUAAUUACUUCUCCCCACUUCUAGACAUAAUCAUAAACCCAAAAUAUAUAAUCAUUUAGAUAGGAAGUAACAAUCCUUUUCAUCCCACAUCUUCUUAUCAUUCAGAAGAACGACAGGU
Molecule: non-coding RNA, 538 nt
Organism: Camelina sativa (false flax)
Lineage: Eukaryota; Viridiplantae; Streptophyta; Magnoliopsida; Brassicales; Brassicaceae
Source: RefSeq, a predicted model, not a curated record